RNAcentral lists this ribosomal RNA (253 nucleotides) under uncultured bacterium. RNAcentral's name for it is "partial 16S ribosomal RNA". It matches the Rfam family "Bacterial small subunit ribosomal RNA", at positions 524 to 776 of the family's 1533-position model. The record is from RNAcentral.
UACGUAGGGAGCAAGCGUUGUCCGGAAUCAUUGGGCGUAAAGCGCGCGUAGGUGGCCCCAUAAGUCCGCUGUGAAAGUCUAAGGCUCAACCUUUGAAAGCCGGUGGAUACUGUGGGACUAGAGUACGGAAGAGGCGAGUGGAAUUCCUGGUGUAGCGGUGGAAUGCGCAGAUAUCAGGAGGAACACCGGUGGCGAAGGCGGUUCUCUGGGCAUUACCUGACGCUGAGGAGCGAAAGUGUGGGGAGCGAACAGG